CAAAAGCCAUUAACCCUUUUAUUUUCUUUUCCUUUUCAUUUUCCAUAUAAAUCGUCGAGAACAAACGUGUCCUGUAACAGGUUUUAAGAAAGAGAAAUGAGAAGUUUUGAUAAAUUUUGGAGAAAGAUCGAAAACCUGUAAUCGAUUUUAAAACUGUGGCUACCAAUACACUUUGCCGGAUUUCGAAAAUUUUGAAUUUUAAAAACCUUUUAAACUUAAAUUAAUU
This 226-nucleotide long non-coding RNA is filed under the name Ananas comosus (pineapple). Its description in RNAcentral is "long non-coding RNA (ACOM_LNC035274)". The record is from RNAcentral. Lineage: Eukaryota; Viridiplantae; Streptophyta; Magnoliopsida; Poales; Bromeliaceae.